UCGGCUUAGAGUUUGAUCAUGGCUCAGGAUGAACGCUGGCGGCGUGCCUAAUACAUGCAAGUCGAGCGAAAAGGAGCUUGCUCCUUUUAGCGGCGGACGGGUGAGUAACACGUGGGUAACCUACCUAUAAGACUGGGAUAACUUCGGGAAACCGGAGCUAAUACCGGAUAACAUUUAGACCGCAUGGUUCUAAAGGAAAGAUGUUUGUAUCACUUAUAGAUGGACCCGCGCCGUAUUAGCUAGUUGGUAAGGUAACGGCUUACCAAGGCGACGAUACGUAGCCGACCUGAGAGGGUGAUCGGCCACACUGGAACUGAGACACGGUCCAGACUCCUACGGGAGGCAGCAGUAGGGAAUCUUCCGCAAUGGGCGAAAGCCUGACGGAGCAACGCCGCGUGAGUGAUGAAGGGUUUCGGCUCGUAAAACUCUGUUAUUAGGGAAGAACAAAUGUGUAGUAAUGCACAUCUUGACGGUACCUAAUCAGAAAGCCACGGCUAACUACGUGCCAGCAGCCGCGGUAAUACGUAGGUGGCAAGCGUUAUCCGGAAUUAUUGGGCGUAAAGCGCGCGUAGGCGGUUUCUUAAGUCUGAUGUGAAAGCCCACGGCUCAACCGUGGAGGGUCAUUGGAAACUGGGAAACUUGAGUGCAGAAGAGGAAAGUGGAAUUCCAUGUGUAGCGGUGAAAUGCGCAGAGAUAUGGAGGAACACCAGUGGCGAAGGCGACUUUCUGGUCUGUAACUGACGCUGAUGUGCGAAAGCGUGGGGAUC
This 767-nucleotide ribosomal RNA is filed under the name uncultured Staphylococcus sp. RNAcentral's name for it is "bacterial SSU rRNA". It matches the Rfam family "Bacterial small subunit ribosomal RNA", at positions 1 to 769 of the family's 1533-position model. Lineage: Bacteria; Bacillati; Bacillota; Bacilli; Caryophanales; Staphylococcaceae. The record is from RNAcentral.